CACGCAGGCGGUUUGUUAAGUCAGAUGUGAAAUCCCCGAGCUUAACUUGGGAACUGCAUUUGAAACUGGCAAGCUAGAGUCUUGUAGAGGGGGGUAGAAUUCCAGGUGUAGCGGUGAAAUGCGUAGAGAUCUGGAGGAAUACCGGUGGCGAAGGCGGCCCCCUGGACAAAGACUGACGCUCAGGUGCGAAAGCGUGGGGAGCAAACAGGAUUAGAUACCCUGGUAGUCCACGCUGUAAACGAUGUCGACUUGGAGGUUGUGCCCUUGAGGCGUGGCUUCCGGAGCUAACGCGUUAAGUCGACCGCCUGGGGAGUACGGCCGCAAGGUUAAAACUCAAAGAAAAUUUGACGGA
Molecule: ribosomal RNA, 352 nt
Filed under: bacterium
Lineage: Bacteria
Description: bacterial SSU rRNA
Rfam family: Bacterial small subunit ribosomal RNA
Source: RNAcentral